This 490-nucleotide ribosomal RNA is filed under the name uncultured bacterium. RNAcentral's name for it is "partial 16S ribosomal RNA". It matches the Rfam family "Bacterial small subunit ribosomal RNA", at positions 28 to 507 of the family's 1533-position model. The record is from RNAcentral.
GAUGAACGCUAGCGGUAGGCUUAACACAUGCCAGUCGAGGGGCAGCAUGGUCUUAGCUUGCUAAGGCUGAUGGCGACCGGCGCACGGGUGCGUAACGCGUAUGCAACUUGCCUCACAGAGGGGGGUAACCCGGCGCAAGAAGGACUAAUACCGCGUACACGCUAUGUUGGGCAUCCAAUGUAGCGGGAAUGAAAUUCGCUGUAAGAUAGGGAUGCGUCCCGUUGGCUAGUUGGUGAGGUAACGGCUCACCAAGGCGACGAUGGGUAGGGGAACUGAGAGGUUGAACCCCCACACUGGUACUGAGACACGGACCAGACUGCGACGGGAGGCAGCAGUGAGGAAGAUUGGUCAAGGGGCGAGAGCCUGAACCAGCCAAGUCGCGUGAAGGAUGACUGUCUUAUGGAUUGUAAUCUUCUUUGAAACGGGAACAACAAGAGUCACGUGUGGCUUCCUGCAUGUACCGUAUGAAUAAGCACCGGCUAACUCCGUG